ACUCAGUGUUUGUUCUUUUCUCAGUCAGUGCAGAUCACCAUGAUCAUUUUCACUGUACUUCUGCUCUCAGCUCUUAAAGGUAACAGAGCUGAAGACGUCAUCACUCCAGACAGAGAUGUUGUUUUUGCUGUUGAAGGUCAAAAAGUUACACUUUCCUGUAACUACAAUGGAACUGAAUAUGGUCUUCACUGGUAUCGACAGUAUUCAGGUUCACCUCCACAGUUCCUUAUAUUGGAAUAUUCAGGGAAUCCUAUUACUGCUACACCUCCAGUUCCUGGAAUAUCAAUUGAACAUGCAAAAAAACGGAAGAAAGUGGAUCUGAUCAUCUCCUCUGCUGCAGUAUCAGACUCUGCACUCUACUACUGUGCCAUGAGGCCCACAGUGACAGGAAACCCACCUACACUGUACAAAAACCCCUUACUGUAGCAAAAGCUAAAACUGACAAUGGCUCAUUAUUUAACAAACCUUAGAAGCUGAACAAUGAAGGCUCAGAAUGACAAUGCGAGCUGAUAUUUUAGCGAUGAUAAAUUAUGUGGAAACAGCAGAUUUGUGCAGAAGUUGAAACAUGAUAUACUGUGAAAAGGACACAAAUGAAUAGUAAUAUCUCCUCUGAAAAUGCAUAUAUAGUAUGAAUAUUCAAACUUAAAACUACAAUGUGUCUGACUUUAUUUUUGUUUCAUUAUACAGUCCAUAUCGAAAUGUUGAAUGUUAUGUUCAUUUCUAACUCACAGUUUG
This is a non-coding RNA of Pygocentrus nattereri (red-bellied piranha), 735 nucleotides long. The record is from the annotation of a RefSeq genome assembly. NCBI's taxonomy places the organism in Eukaryota, Metazoa, Chordata, Actinopteri, Characiformes, Serrasalmidae.